CAAUGGAGAGUUUUGACACCUGUAUACCUGUAUUCUACCAAUCACCUUUGUAACCUUUGUUGUGUUCAUCAGACAGGCUUUAGGUGAAAGUGGUCUGUCACUGAGUCAACAAUUACUGUCUGUCACUGAGUCAACAAUUACUGUGAGCCUAUUUGGUGCCAUUCACAAGCAGAAAAAUAUACAUAAACCCAACAUUCAUCAUGUUUGAUCUUAAACUACCAGACUACCAGUGUUGGAUAACUGGAGCCUUGCCUAGUACUACUCAAACUGGAGCUGUGGGGAUGGAGUCCAGAGACAUUUUCCCUAUGGAUGUGUUUCAAAGAAUUCUGAUGGAGCUUGGAGCAGUCUCGGUUA
This is a long non-coding RNA of Saccostrea cuccullata (small rock oyster), 354 nucleotides long. RefSeq lists it as uncharacterized. Lineage: Eukaryota; Metazoa; Mollusca; Bivalvia; Ostreida; Ostreidae. The record is from RefSeq and is a predicted model, not a curated record. The transcript has 3 exons.